This is a non-coding RNA of Paramuricea clavata, 696 nucleotides long. The record is from the annotation of a GenBank genome assembly. NCBI's taxonomy places the organism in Eukaryota, Metazoa, Cnidaria, Anthozoa, Malacalcyonacea, Plexauridae.
GUCAUAUUAAUAUAUAUAUAUAUAUUACUUAUUAGUCAUAUUAGAACAUUUUGCCAAUUAUAAUAUAAUCCACAGAACUCAAUGAACGAGUCACAAAGAUUCAUCCCUUUCGAACAGAGAAUACAUUCAUGACCAAACACAUUGGGUGAAAACUCUACGACUAUACCAUAAAACGUCCUCCAGAUCUCAUAAAGUAUUAUAUUUACUUUAUAGUUUAAUUAUCCUUUUUAGGGUUAAUAUUUUCACAAUAAUUUUAUGAUGCGAUAUAUAUUCAACGCAUGCGCAGCUAAUCCUGGCCAGCAUGUGUUAGCCCAACAAGAUAAGGCGUGCUGUUAUGGUACAACUUUCGCUGAAAUCCGGUCCUGCAACAGCAACCCCGGGACGGCGGGAUUUUCUGCUUGCCCUCAGCCUGCUGAGGAGCAAUACAAUUUGGACUCGCUUAUAUUAUACAUGCAGGUACUUAAACAAAUACAGAACUAACUUACAGGUGUAGAAUUACGCGCAGACUUCGCAUGUAGGCCUACACUUGUAUAAAACAUGCACAACGUAUAUGUGCCUGAUUAAAAUAUUGGUUGUUAUGGUGGGGUUACGUGAUAAAAAUAUAAUUUUAGCAACUAUGUUGGCAAUGUAAUUAAACAAACAGCUUAACAAAAAACUCAUCGCUAGAAAUCGUGGAAUUUGGAAUUCAACGUGCAU